This 369-nucleotide transfer-messenger RNA is filed under the name Alphaproteobacteria bacterium. It matches the Rfam family "Alphaproteobacteria transfer-messenger RNA". Rfam says of the family: Bacterial tmRNA, also known as 10Sa RNA or SsrA, is named for its dual tRNA and mRNA-like properties. Lineage: Bacteria; Pseudomonadati; Pseudomonadota; Alphaproteobacteria. The record is from RNAcentral.
GCACUUUUUUUUCGCGCGCCCCCGACCUAUAUUGUGCAUGCCGGUUCGCCGGCUAUGGCGAUAAACGCGGCCGUAAUAAGCCAUUCGGACCCGGGGGCGGUACCCGGCGCCUCCACCACAUGCCCGCCGGCGCAUCCGUGCGUUGCGGGCAUCUGCUGGGGGCGAAAUAGGAUCGACGAGGGUGUAAAGGGUUUAGCUUUUGCCCGGCAUGGUACCGCCGUUAUCGGACCACCAUAGUAGUUGCAAAUGACAACUAUGCUGAGGCUGCUGUCGCUGCGUAAUGCAGUGCCUAAAGCUUCAAAUUAAGCCCUUUCCCCUAGCAGGGUAAGGCGCGGUUCGGAGGGCACCGGGCAACAGAAGCCCUCCACU